This is a long non-coding RNA of Gambusia affinis (western mosquitofish), 450 nucleotides long. RefSeq lists it as uncharacterized. The transcript is spliced from 3 exons. The record is from RefSeq and is a predicted model, not a curated record. Lineage: Eukaryota; Metazoa; Chordata; Actinopteri; Cyprinodontiformes; Poeciliidae.
UUUGCUGUUUUCUUUUUUGUUUCCUCCACCAGAGGUCGCCAUGAGGUGGAGACUGGAGGGCGUGACCACCGGCAGCAGUAUUACCUGCGCACCUGUAAGCUAUCAGCUGAUCUGGAGGAGUUUAAGAGGAGGGAGCAGCCAACACUUCUUUGCCAGAGUGUUAGCCUGAUAUGGUGACCCGAAAAGAACUCUUGAGAACUAUCCGUUGAACCCUGAACCUCCGGCUGCCUCCACAAUAUCAUUGCCCUCGUGACGCCACGGAAAAUACCCGCUGGUCGCCCUCCAACGCCGUGCACCUCCUGAUCUCCUGCAGCAAACCCUCCAUCACUUUCCUCCACCCCGGUACCACCGAAACCUCCCAGGCGCAGAUCAUCACCUAAUCCAUGAACCAGACCCGGCCGUUUUCACCUUUGGUCCCCCGACCCAGAUUUCACCGUUGUUUUUCAAUAA